RNAcentral lists this long non-coding RNA (542 nucleotides) under Polistes dominula (European paper wasp). RNAcentral's name for it is "uncharacterized LOC107068509, transcript variant X2". The record is from RNAcentral. Lineage: Eukaryota; Metazoa; Arthropoda; Insecta; Hymenoptera; Vespidae.
GAUUGAGGAGUUGCAUUUAUUUUUAAUCAAUUAAUAAAAACAUAUUGUGUGUGUGGGUAAUCUGUAUUUUAUUACCGACUGGUAAAAUGUGUAUCGCCAUUUAUCGGUACUAGAUAUUACUUCACUGUACCGACUAGUAAAUUUAGGCUGCCAUCUAGCGGAAGUAAAUGUUACUAUAUCUUACCGAUUAGUAGAAUAUGUUUCGCCAUCUAGACAAAAGAUAAAACAUCACUAGGAUAAAAUCAAGAUGGCUACCUGUCAAUAUACUUUGAAUACCAUAAACACAGGCUAUGUGCAGUUGAUCGCCAAUUCUGGAUGAAAAUAGUUAAAUUGGAUGUAUUGCUGUAGGACAGUGUUAUGUCAUAACCUAAGAAAAAUAAUUUUCUUAAUUAAAUCCGAGAAUGCAGAUGAAUUCCAGACGUUCUUUUUAUCAAAUUAUUAUAACAAAUACUAAUCAGCAUGCAGAUCUAUAUUUUUAAUUCCAAUCCAAGAACGUUAUACCCAAAAGAAGAGGAGUCCGUUACACCAUUGGAUCAAUGGAU